AGAGUUUGAUCCUGGCUCAGAUUGAACGCUGGCGGCAGGCUUAACACAUGCAAGUCGAGCGGGCGAGGUUGCUUCGGUAACUGAGCUAGCGGCGGACGGGUGAGUAAUGCUUAGGAAUCUGCCUAUUAGUGGGGGACAACAUUCCGAAAGGAAUGCUAAUACCGCAUACGCCCUACGGGGGAAAGCAGGGGAUCUUCGGACCUUGCGCUAAUAGAUGAGCCUAAGUCAGAUUAGCUAGUUGGUGGGGUAAAGGCCUACCAAGGCGGCGAUCUGUAGCGGGUCUGAGAGGAUGAUCCGCCACACUGGGACUGAGACACGGCCCAGACUCCUACGGGAGGCAGCAGUGGGGAAUAUUGGACAAUGGGCGCAAGCCUGAUCCAGCCAUGCCGCGUGUGUGAAGAAGGCCUUUUGGUUGUAAAGCACUUUAAGCGAGGAGGAGGCUACUGGUAUUAAUACUACCGGAUAGUGGACGUUACUCGCAGAAUAAGCACCGGCUAACUCUGUGCCAGCAGCCGCGGUAAUACAGAGGGUGCGAGCGUUAAUCGGAUUUACUGGGCGUAAAGCGUGCGUAGGCGGCUUUUUAAGUCGGAUGUGAAAUCCCUGAGCUUAACUUAGGAAUUGCACUCGAUACUGGGAAGCUAGAGUAUGGGAGAGGAUGGUAGAAUUCCAGGUGUAGCGGUGAAAUGCGUAGAGAUCUGGAGGAAUACCGAUGGCGAAGGCAGCCAUCUGGCCUAAUACUGACGCUGAGGUACGAAAGCAUGGGGAGCAAACAGGAUUAGAUACCCUGGUAGUCC
Molecule: ribosomal RNA, 794 nt
Filed under: uncultured bacterium
Lineage: Bacteria
Description: bacterial SSU rRNA
Rfam family: Bacterial small subunit ribosomal RNA
Source: RNAcentral